GUCUUUAUAUCUUGUUAAUUUUGAAAGUUGACUUUGCUUUUAGCUAAAGACU
Molecule: transfer RNA, 52 nt
Filed under: Dermatophagoides farinae (American house dust mite)
Lineage: Eukaryota; Metazoa; Arthropoda; Arachnida; Sarcoptiformes; Pyroglyphidae
Description: tRNA-Ser
Source: RNAcentral